UUGGGAGGGUGGAGGAUCGCUUCCGGCGCAAGCCGGGGGAGGAAAGUCCGAACACCACAGGGCGCGAUGCCGCGUAACUCCGGUUCAGCCGGAGAUACACGCGGGAGGCGACGGCGUGAGUCGUCCCGACGGAGAGUGCCACAGAAAACAGACAGCCACGGUUGCGGCAACGCAAUCGGGGUGAUGGUGAAAAGGUGCGGUAAGAGCGCACCGCGCGGAGCGCAAGCGACGCGGCACGGAAAACCCCAUCGGGUGCAAGGCCAAAUAGAGAACUCCGGGGCUGCCCGCCCCAUGUUCCGCGAAAGCGGGACGGGUUCCGGGUACUGGCUGCUCAGACAAAUGAUUCUCUCCCGUGGAGAAAUCCAUGGCAGACAGAAUUCGGCUUACAGCCCUCUCAAAACC
Molecule: RNase P RNA, 402 nt
Filed under: Verrucomicrobiota bacterium
Lineage: Bacteria; Pseudomonadati; Verrucomicrobiota
Description: Verrucomicrobia bacterium (drinking water metagenome) RNase P RNA component class A
Rfam family: Bacterial RNase P class A
About the family: Ribonuclease P (RNase P) is a ubiquitous endoribonuclease, found in archaea, bacteria and eukarya as well as chloroplasts and mitochondria. Its best characterised activity is the generation of mature 5'-ends of tRNAs by cleaving the 5'-leader elements of precursor-tRNAs. Cellular RNase Ps are ribonucleoproteins.
Source: RNAcentral